GAUGAACGCUGGCGGCGUGCCUAAUACAUGCAAGUCGAGCGAACAGACGAGGAGCUUGCUCCUCUGACGUUAGCGGCGGACGGGUGAGUAACACGUGGAUAACCUACCUAUAAGACUGGGAUAACUUCGGGAAACCGGAGCUAAUACCGGAUAAUAUAUUGAACCGCAUGGUUCAAUAGUGAAAGACGGUUUUGCUGUCACUUAUAGAUGGAUCCGCGCCGCAUUAGCUAGUUGGUAAGGUAACGGCUUACCAAGGCAACGAUGCGUAGCCGACCUGAGAGGGUGAUCGGCCACACUGAAACUGAGACACGGUCCAGGCUCCUACGGGGGGCAGCAGUAGGGAAUCUUCCGCAAUGGGCGAAAGCCUGCCGGAGCAACGCCGCGGGGGUGAUGAAGGUCUUCGGAUCGUAAAACUCUGUUAUUAGGGAAAAAAAAAUGGGUAAGUAACUAUGCACGUCUUGACGGUACCAAAUCAAAAAGCCACGGCUAACUACGU
Molecule: ribosomal RNA, 496 nt
Filed under: uncultured bacterium
Lineage: Bacteria
Description: partial 16S ribosomal RNA
Rfam family: Bacterial small subunit ribosomal RNA
Source: RNAcentral